AGCUCUAAUAGCGUAUACUAAAGUUGUUGCAGUUAAAAAGCUCGUAGUUGAAGUUCAGAACUAGGAGACGUUGGUCGGGCGUAUGCUCUGUACCAGCUUUCCUGUUCUCCCUAUGGGAUACUCACCUUUACUCUUAACUGGGCGAAGGUAAAAGCAUUGUAUGGUUGGGGCAACCUGGUCAUGCAGUGUGGAGUUCCCAUUCGUUUACUUUGAAUAAAUUAGGGUGUUCAAAGCAGGCAAAUAAAGAGCCUUGAAUACUACAGCAUGGGAUAACGGAAUACGAUUUCGGUUCAUAUUUCGUUGGUUUCUGGAGCCGAAGUAAUGAUUAAAAGGGAUAGUUGGGGGCAUUAGUAUUUAAUUGUCAGAGGUGAAAUUCUUGGAUUUAUGAAAGACUAACUUCUGCGAAAGCAUUUGCCAAGGAUGUUUUCA
RNAcentral lists this ribosomal RNA (429 nucleotides) under uncultured eukaryote. RNAcentral's name for it is "SSU rRNA". It matches the Rfam family "Eukaryotic small subunit ribosomal RNA", at positions 587 to 972 of the family's 1831-position model. The record is from RNAcentral.